This 490-nucleotide ribosomal RNA is filed under the name uncultured bacterium. RNAcentral describes it as "partial 16S ribosomal RNA". It matches the Rfam family "Bacterial small subunit ribosomal RNA", at positions 28 to 507 of the family's 1533-position model. The record is from RNAcentral.
GAUGAACGCUAGCUACAGGCUUAACACAUGCAAGUCGCAGGGUAACAUGAGGAAAGCUUGCUUUCCUUGAUGACGACUGGCGCACGGGUGAGUAACGCGUAUCCAACCUUCCCAUAACUACGGGAUAACCCGUUGAAAGACGGCCUAAUACCGUAUGAUAUCGUUUGCUGACAUCAAAUAACGAUUAAAGGUUUAGCGGUUAUGGAUGGGGAUGCGUCUGAUUAGCUUGUUGGCGGGGUAACGGCCCACCAAGGCGACGAUCAGUAGGGGUUCUGAGAGGAAGGUCCCCCACAUUGGAACUGAGACACGGUCCAAACUACUACGGGAGGCAGCAGUGAGGAAUAGUGGUCAAUGGGCGAGAGCCUGAACCAGCCAAGUAGCGUGCAGGACGACGGCCCUAUGGGUUGUAAACUGCUUUUAUGUGGGGAUAAAGUGCGUGACGUGUCAUGCAUUGCAGGUACCACAUGAAUAAGGACCGGCUAAUUCCGUG